UACGAAGGGGGCUAGCGUUGCUCGGAAUUACUGGGCGUAAAGGGCGCGUAGGCGGACAGUUUAGUCAGAGGUGAAAGCCCAGGGCUCAACCUUGGAAUUGCCUUUGAUACUGGCUGUCUUGAGUUCGGGAGAGGUGAGUGGAAUGCCGAGUGUAGAGGUGAAAUUCGUAGAUAUUCGGAAGAACACCAGUGGCGAAGGCGACUCACUGGACACAUAUUGACGCUGAGGUGCGAAAGCGUGGGGAGCAAACAGG
Molecule: ribosomal RNA, 253 nt
Filed under: uncultured bacterium
Lineage: Bacteria
Description: partial 16S ribosomal RNA
Rfam family: Bacterial small subunit ribosomal RNA
Source: RNAcentral